GAUGAACGCUGGCGGCGUGCUUAACACAUGCAAGUCGAACGAAGCACUUUAUUUGAUUUCCUUCGGGGCUGAUUAUUUUGUGACUGAGUGGCGGACGGGUGAGUAACGCGUGGGUAACCUGCCUUGUACAGGGGGAUAACAGUUGGAAACGGCUGCUAAUACCGCAUAAGCGCACAGCAUCGCAUGAUGCAGUGUGAAAAACUCCGGUGGUAUAAGAUGGACCCGCGUUGGAUUAGCUAGUUGGUGAGGUAACGGCCCACCAAGGCGACGAUCCAUAGCCGACCUGAGAGGGUGACCGGCCACAUUGGGACUGAGACACGGCCCAAACUCCUACGGGAGGCAGCAGUUGGGAAUAUUGCACAAUGGGCGAAAGCCUGAUGCAGCGACGCCGCGUGAGCGAAGAAGUAUUUCGGUAUGUAAAGCUCUAUCAGCAGGGAAGAUAAUGACGGUACCUGACUAAGAAGCACCGGCUAAAUACGUG
RNAcentral lists this ribosomal RNA (481 nucleotides) under uncultured bacterium. RNAcentral's name for it is "partial 16S ribosomal RNA". It matches the Rfam family "Bacterial small subunit ribosomal RNA", at positions 28 to 507 of the family's 1533-position model. The record is from RNAcentral.